UGGGGGAUAUUGCACAAUGGGCGCAAGCCUGAUGCAGCGACGCCGCGUGGGGGAUGAAGGCCUUCGGGUUGUAAACCUCUUUUGCUCUGAACAAGGCGCACUUUGGGGUGUGUUGAGUGUAGGGGUUGAUUAGCGCCGGCUAACUACGUGCCAGCAGCCGCGGUAAUACGUAGGGCGCGAGCGUUGUCCGGAAUUAUUGGGCGUAAAGGGCUUGUAGGUGGCUGGUUGCGUCUGUCGUGAAAGCUCAUGGCUUAACUGUGGGUUUGCGGUGGGUACGGGCUGGCUUGAGUGCAGUAGGGGAGGCUGGAAUUCCUGGUGUAGCGGUGGAAUGCGCAGAUAUCAGGAGGAAUACCGGUGGCGAAGGCGGGUCUCUGGGCUGUUACUGACACUGAGGAGCGAAAGCAUGGGGAGCGAACAGG
Molecule: ribosomal RNA, 419 nt
Filed under: bacterium
Lineage: Bacteria
Description: partial 16S ribosomal RNA
Rfam family: Bacterial small subunit ribosomal RNA
Source: RNAcentral